RNAcentral lists this transfer RNA (85 nucleotides) under Escherichia coli. RNAcentral's name for it is "tRNA-Gly". The stretch from base 19 to 74 matches the Rfam family "tRNA", at positions 10 to 63 of the family's 71-position model. From Rfam's summary of the family: Transfer RNA (tRNA) molecules are approximately 80 nucleotides in length. Lineage: Bacteria; Pseudomonadati; Pseudomonadota; Gammaproteobacteria; Enterobacterales; Enterobacteriaceae. The record is from RNAcentral.
GUUCGAGUCUCGUUUCCCGCUCAGUUGGUAGAGCACGACCUUGCCAAGGUCGGGGUCGCGAGUUCGAGUCUCGUUUCCCGCUCCA